UAAUACAAGAAAUAAAAUAAAGGAAAAAAACUGAACUGAGUUUACGCUAAGAGCUAGCCCGGGCCUUGAUGAAGCAUGGCCGGGCGCCAAAACAACCGGUCGGGCUUCGAUAGUGGCAGGGACAGUUUCUGGCAUUCUGCAGGCCAAGCAUGUUUUAAACAAACUCAAACCCUUAUUUUCUCACACCCUCUCAUCCGGAACUCCCUCCCCUCUUUCUCUAACCUCCGUUUCUCUCUAGAUUUUCCCUUUUCUUGAAUUACCCAACAAUCCUCACAAAAUUUUCUUUGAAACCCUUUCCCUCCUCUAUAUUUUGAACCGAACAAAACUUAAUUUGGUGAAGUUUGAGCUUUUCCCUUGGUUUUUCUCACAUUUGCCCACUUUGCUCACACUUUCCUUCUUUUCCCUUUGAUUUUCCACAAUUUCUUCACUUUCUCUCUCCUAGGGUUUGAAAUUUGAGAUUUCCACCUAUUUUCACUUAUCCGCUUUACUUUUUCUUCACUUUUCUCUAAUUUUCUCCAUGACUAGUGACGAGGUUCCCAUCCCGGACCCUGCCAUUGGUAUUAGGGCCGUCUUAGGUGCAGAUAUGGAGGCCAAGGAUGCUCAUACGUUGCCUCCCCUCGUUGAUAGGCCAUUUGAUGCGGCCACCUACCGACCACGCACACAUGCUCGGCCCCUAGGUGGUAUUUUGAGAUUUGAGGUCCUCAUCCCCAAGAUAAACGAGGACAUCUUGCUGCGAGAGCCCGUGAAGUACUUAUCCACCAAUGCUUCUACGUUAAGUAACCUUCAUUUGUUUUGAUACGUUGUUGAAUCUCGCAAGUAGACCACUAGUGAAUACCAUACACACUCCUCAUUUACAGGUGAUAGCUAGGAGGAUUGGCGGCAAUAGAUCCAUAUCCGGCCCCCAGUGCUGGUAUAAGAGACUGCCCGCAGAGGUCCGCGCACUGGUUGAUGCCGCUGGCUUUGGGCCUUUUUGCUUAGGGCUCAUACAGAUGAGGGCAGAGUCGCUGUUGUAUAGGGCCCUAGUAGAGAGAUGGUGGGACACUAGGGACUCAUUCCACUUCUCAUCGAUCAUGGAGAUGACUCUAACCCCGUACGAUUUCUCGAUGCUUAUUGGCCUGCGAGUCAGGGUUGGCAGCCCGAUCCCAUGUGAUCCUGACAUGACGCAGUGGAGAGCCGCACAGCGUCAGCUUCUUGGGGGCGAUCUCGGACAUCACCAGUCACGGGAUGGUGAGAUGUAAUUGGUUUUAUGAUAAUUUCUCUGAGUCCUAGCCCGCUACUUCAGAUGAGGUCACUCAGUAUACCCACAGCUUCUUUAUGUAUCUCCUCAAUACUAUCUUGUUCACGAACAGGAAAAAUACCGUGGGGUUAUAUCUUCUAGGGGCACUGGUACAACUACCACAGGUGACAGAUUACAACUGGGGUGGCGUCGGCCUGGCGACCUUAUACUGUUAUACGAGCUCUAUAUCCUGCCGCAAGAUAGAUUCACUUGGCGGCUACUGGAUGGUUUGGAAGGUUUACACAUACUUCACCUCUCUAGCUCCGGUCCCAGUGAGGCCGAUUGAGUUGUUAGUACCCCGCUUCCAGUACUAUAACUCUCGAUUUGAGCACUUCCGUUGUGUGAACCGAGACUUCCUCUACUUUCACCGCUUCUUUGACAUGAUCACGGUGGAUUAGGUUGACUGGCAUCCUUGGGCGGGCAUUCCCUAGGCGUUGAAGAGGACCUAUGUCGCUGUAUGGCAUGCCUCCACCAUGCGAAUUCUGUUUGAGGGCCUCUUUAGCUGGGCUUACUACCUGGGGAAGUGGUUCAUCUGCCAGGCACAAGGCAUCGCUGACCUCGACAUUCCAUAUCCUCUUCCUCCAGUCAUGAGGGUAGUUGAUAAGCUUCAGAAGGAUCCUCAGAUCGACCUCUUGAUGUUGGGAGAGGAUGGUGAUCGACAUCAUGAACCCGAUGACUUCACCACCUUCUUACAUACUCGAGUGAUGGUGCCUCUUACCCUGGGCAUGGUUCGCGUUGUUCUAGAGGUUGCUACUGUUGCUGCUGCUAGCGAUGCCCCUACUGGAGGUGCCCCUAUCGUUGCUUCAAUUCCUAGGUUUCCCGUGAUUCCCACUGAGAUCAUGUUCUUUGUAACAAUCCCUACCCAUAAUUAACGUAUAUUCCAUGAUUAAGAAGGCUUAAUAAGUAAUUAAAG
Molecule: long non-coding RNA, 2189 nt
Organism: Camellia sinensis
Lineage: Eukaryota; Viridiplantae; Streptophyta; Magnoliopsida; Ericales; Theaceae
Source: RefSeq, a predicted model, not a curated record